RNAcentral lists this ribosomal RNA (253 nucleotides) under uncultured bacterium. RNAcentral's name for it is "partial 16S ribosomal RNA". It matches the Rfam family "Bacterial small subunit ribosomal RNA", at positions 524 to 776 of the family's 1533-position model. The record is from RNAcentral.
GACAGAGGUGCCAAGCGUUAGGCGGAAUCACUGGGCUUAAAGCGUGUGUAGGCGGAUCGUUAAGUACCUUGUGAAAUCCCACGGCUCAACCGUGGAACUGCUGGGUAUACUGGCGAUCUUGAGCCACCUAGGGGCGAGCGGAACAAGCGGUGGAGCGGUGAAAUGCGUAGAUAUCGCUUGGAACGCCAACGGUGAAAACAGCUCGCUGGGGGUGUGCUGACGCUGAGACACGAAAGCCAGGGGAGCGAACGGG